Molecule: non-coding RNA, 4163 nt
Organism: Arvicanthis niloticus (Nile rat)
Lineage: Eukaryota; Metazoa; Chordata; Mammalia; Rodentia; Muridae
Source: RefSeq, a predicted model, not a curated record
GUUCCGCCGCCGGAGGCGGGGCAGUAGGGCCGAGGGGGUCGGGCUAGCAGGCGUGCCGCUUCUGAAGUAGGCAGGCUCAGCGCGCUUGCGCGGAGCGGCCCUGCGCGCAGUGAGGCAGUGGCGGGGGAAGGCACCGGUGGGGCCGACGGGCGGGCUGAGAAGGGAAGCGGGCGAGCGAAGUCCCAGUGCGCGCCGCGGCCGCCCGGGUACCCUCCCCUUCCGGGCGUGAGGCGCUGAGAGGAAAGCCGAGCGGAGCGGACUCGCCUAGGCGGCGGGGUGCUUCUCGGGUCUCCCAAGACCGGCCUCCCGCGGCUUCGGCGCUCCAGUCGCGGGGCCCGGUUCCUCAACACACCUAGCUCCAGCCACCGUCAGAGCUUGUCCCCAGUCCGUCGAAGUCCCGGCGGUAGCCCGGGCUCUUGGUGGGGAGGAUGACGGAGCUGCAGUCGGCGCUGCUACUGCGAAGACAGCUGGCAGGUGACCUACUUCUGCCUGGGUAUUGGCAGAUUUCUUUCUUUGUCCUUGAAGUUCAGUAACUUCAUCAGAAUAUAUCUCGCUCUUGGUGUGAUUCUCUAUUACAUUUUCCUGUUAAUGAUGUUUUCAGUCCCACUUCUCACUACUGACCUUCCUCGUUCAUCGGUCACUGACUUGGCGCCUCUCUGGGGUUCUGCCCAGAAGAUUUAGCCUUCCUCCUCCGCCUCAGCCCCUCUAACUCAACAAAAAUCCAGUGGAAGGCUUUUCAGCAGGCUUAAUAGACGACAAUGAUCUCUAUCGUUGGGAAGUCCUUAUUAUUGGUCCUCCAGAUACACUUUAUGAAGGUGGUGUUUUUAAGGCUCAUCUCACUUUUCCUAAAGAUUAUCCCCUACGGCCUCCUAAAAUGAAAUUCAUUACAGAGAUUUGGCACCCAAAUGUUGAUAAAAAUGGUGAUGUUUGCAUUUCUAUUCUUCAUGAGCCUGGGGAGGAUAAAUAUGGCUAUGAGAAGCCAGAGGAACGCUGGUUACCUAUCCAUACUGUGGAAACCAUCAUGAUUAGUGUCAUUUCUAUGCUGGCAGAUCCUAAUGGAGACUCACCUGCAAAUGUAGAUGCUGCGAAAGAAUGGAGGGAAGACAGAAACGGAGAAUUUAAAAGGAAAGUUGCCCGCUGUGUAAGAAAAAGCCAAGAAACUGCUUUUGAGUGAUGUUUAUUCAGUAGCUAGUAACUUUACUUAUUUCAGGGUCUCCAAUUGAGAAACAUGGCACUGUUUUUCCUGCACUCUACCCACCUAUUGCUGGACUUCUGUUGUAACAAGUUGGCAAACUCUGGCUGGAACUGGGCUGCAAUAAAACAUGCCAGUCAUUAAUGCUGACAAGAGCCUAACAAGUGCCAACUUACAGAUGAUUACGCAUUUUGAAUUCUAAUGAACUGUUUUAACCUUCAGGAAGAAUUGUAAAGACCUGUACAUAGCACAACAUGAUCCGGAUAAUAUAUAUACUGUUCAUGUACAUCCACAAACACACCUUGUACCAAAUAAUGCUUUCUUGUAGUAGAAUAAGAAUCGUGUAAAUUCUAAAAGACUUUAGCAGGUUUUCUUUUCCCAUUCAUCGUUUUUUAUCAGUUCAAAAAGAUUCCUUAAAGCAUGUCAGGUGAAAACCAAUAAGGAUUAAAAGUUUCCAUAUAAUUUCCUUUAAACCAUUGAGUCUUUCAUUACACUCUUUCCAUUUACUAAUCUUUUAUAUUUUCUUUGUUUUGCCACACUCCCCUUUCCUUUUAUCUCUUCUAUCUGCCAGAAAGUUCUCAAAUCAUUUAGUUAAAAUACUGAAAUACUAGUAAAUUACUUGAUUUUCUCAUGAUGACUUCAGAGGUGGGGUCAUCACUAGGUGCUUUGUCCUUUUUGUACUCUGAUUCACCCAUCUCUUGGAUUGGAUGUAGCAAUAACAUUUUCUGGCUGUUGAGAGCUCUUGAUCCUAGUCAUUAUCUCCUGAGAACUUUAAAAGAAAAAAAAUGCAAAGUCUGUUCUAGGUUCAUCUUAGUGAAAUUUAUUCCAAACAAUACAAAAAUCCAGAUUUGGUUUUAUUUUUAUCCUUAAGUUGUCUAAUAUUAAGGUUGGAUGAAUAUAGCAUGCUCAGCUACAGGCUUUCUACAUCUGGGAUUGCUAUUAAAAAUGCUAUUUGUCCUAUUACCCUUCUCCUUAGUCCACAUUUGUUUCUUCUUACAGCAGAUUUUCCUCACCUAUUGUACAAAGAAAUUGCGAUGUAUAUUUUCAUGUAAUUUGAUUUUGGAAUUUUGUCACCUUAUGUAGUGAGUUCUUCCAAAAUAUAAUUUUUUUCCAAUAAUUGUCAAGUUGUUGGCUUUUAUUGUAUUAAAUGAAGGUUAUAGUACUGAAUACCAGAGAAGUGCAGUUUAGAAAAAUCUCAGGUUGAUUCCUUAUGCAAACAAACUGAAUACUUGAAAAUCUCAUGGCCAUGGCAGUAUACUAUUGGGUUCUGUCUAGAUUCUUUAUUUGAAUCUGAAAGUAUUACAGGGGAAAGUCCUUUGCUAACUGACGUACAGAUUUUGUCACUGACAUAGUGUACUUAGAUUUGAUUUUUGAGGGUAAGUACAUUUCCUAAGCAGUUUUAUAAAACAACUUAUGUGAUGGGUAAAAUUAGUACAUUAAAUGUUGAAGACAGGCAGACCUAAGCUGCUGUCUGGUUUUAGCUGAGAAUGGGAAGUUGAGCUAGAGCAUAAAACACUACCUGUUACUUGGUACUGUUUGAGUGUGAGAGUAGGUGUGGUCUGCCCUUGGGGUUUGGAUAAAUCUUUUGGCAGAAGAGGGAAUGAAAGGAUUCCUGUUGGUAUCGGACCUUUCAACUUCUUAUGUCUUUUUAAAGCAGAGGGGAAAUGGAUCAGAUGUGGCUAUGAUACAGCAACAUUUUAAAAUCAGUUUUCUCAGAAGCAUUGUAAAAUCCUAUAAACAUGAAAACCCAUAAAUGUGUAGCAACUGUGAACACCUUGGUUUCAUUGGAGCCCAAAAAUCUUCAAGAACUUUUAGACACCUGUUCCCCAACCCAGACUAGAAGAGUCAUUCUACAGUGCUACUGUCCUCCUAUAAGGGACAAUCAGAAAUUGUUCCCACACUGGUUGCUUUUGCAAAUGUGGAGUUGCAUUUUUGGUCUUUUAUUGCUGUGAUUCUAGCAGUCUGUUGAUUUCAAAUCCAGGGUUUGACUGCUCAUCAAGUAGUAAAUUAGUAACUCAGGGACAACUAUUUCUGAACUUAUAAGUGGCACUGUAAUGUCUUUACCUUUGGAUGACCAUGUGUUUCUUUGGGCUAGAUCAAGGACUACUGGAAAGGUAGGGAUUGCCUUUCUCCUGAAGCUGUUUCCCCUUAUGGUGUCCUGAGCAUUCUCUACACAUGAAACUGAAGCCUAAGUGUUAGGACUUGCUUUUCUAUCAGAGGUGUCAUCUGUGCCUUUCCUAGUGUUCAUCUGACAAUAUGGAUUUCAAUGCCUCUACAUUUGACUUAAACUCACACUCAGGUGGCACUAAACCAAGUGGCAUUUGUCCCAUUAAUGCAUCAUCAUUAGUAUGAGGCAAUUCUGUUUUAGAAAAAGUCCCAUCAUUACCCCAAAACCCUGCCACCUACGCCACCCAUCAGCUACUCCCACCAAAUCCUUUAGAUUAUAGAAUUGUUGGCUGAUAACUAAUUUGUUCAGAGUUCUUGUAGAGGAUUGCAAAUUUUAGUCUUUUUGUAAUGGGAUAAAAUAUUGAUGGCUUUAUGACCUCAGCGUUUAAAAUUCACAUGGAGUUGAUUUUCUUGUCAUUAGAAGGUAAUGCUUGAACAUUUGAUUUUUCUAUUCUGUGAUACCUGGGUGUCAUACUAUCUUUUAAUGGCCUUUGGUCCCAGUUGUGAAAUUUUAUUUAUAUGCUCAUUCAUUCUCUACAAACCUGCCCCGUUGGGUCUUGGUGCCUGUGUAUCAUUGUCUGGUCUCUAGUUGGUGGAAUUACCCUUUUUUGUACUGCCACUUCUCAACAUUUUUGAAGUUUGACAUAAUGUUGCUUCAUUCCAGUUUUUUCUUUUUUUUAGUUCUGUAAUUUGUUGACUGUAUUUAACUAUGUGAGCUUUUUUUGUGAUGUUUACUGUAUUGUAAAGCACCUUAAUCAUGUGAUGGGUGCUCUAUAAAUCAAUAAAUGAUGACUUAGAGGCUGUA